AUUGAACGCUGGCGGCAUGCUUUACACAUGCAAGUCGAACGGCAGCGCGGGCUUCGGCCUGGCGUCGAGUGGCGAACGGGUGAGUAAUGCAUCGGAACGUGCCCAGCAGUGGGGGCUAGCCCGGCGAAAGCCGGAUUCAUACCGCAUUCGACCUGAGGGUGAAAGCGGGGGACCGAAAGGCCUCGCGCCAUUGCACCGGCCGAUGUCGGAUUAGCUAGUUGGUGGGGUAAAGGCUUACCAAGGCGACGAUCCGUAGCUGGUCUGAGAGGACGACCAGCCACACUGGGACUGAGACACGGCCCAGACUCCUACGGGAGGCAGCAGUGGGGAAUUUUGGACAAUGGGGGCAACCCUGAUCCAGCCAUGCCGCGUGCGGGAAGAAGGCCUUCGGGUUGUAAACCGCUUUUGUUCGGGAAGAAAACCUCUGGGCUAAUACCCCGGGGGGAUGACGGUACCGGAAGAAUAAGCACCGGCUAACUACGUG
RNAcentral lists this ribosomal RNA (484 nucleotides) under uncultured bacterium. RNAcentral's name for it is "partial 16S ribosomal RNA". It matches the Rfam family "Bacterial small subunit ribosomal RNA", at positions 28 to 507 of the family's 1533-position model. The record is from RNAcentral.